UUAUGGCUCAGGAUGAACGCUGGCGGCGUGCCUAAUACAUGCAAGUCGAACGCUGGAUAUCCAGCUUGCUGGAUUGAAGGAGUGGCGAACGGGUGAGUAAUACAUAAGCAACCUGCCCACGAAGACUGGGAUAAUCUCUGGAAACGGGGACUAAGACCGGAUAGGUAAUAACGAGGCAUCUCGAUAUUAUUAGAGGUGAGAAACACUGGUGGAUGGGCUUAUGGCGCAUUAGCUGGUUGGUGAGGUAACGGCCCACCAAGGCGAUGAUGCGUAGCCGGCCUGAGAGGGUGAACGGCCACAUUGGGACUGAGACACGGCCCAGACUCCUACGGGAGGCAGCAGUAGGGAAUUUUCGGCAAUGGGCGAAAGCCUGACCGAGCAAACCGCCGCGUGAGUGAUGACGGCCUUCGGGUUGUAAAGCUCUGUUGUAAGGGAAGAACUGCGGGGAUAGGAUCCCCGACUGACGGUACCUUACCAGAAAGCCACGGCUAACUACGUGCCAGCCGCCGC
RNAcentral lists this ribosomal RNA (510 nucleotides) under uncultured bacterium. RNAcentral describes it as "bacterial SSU rRNA". It matches the Rfam family "Bacterial small subunit ribosomal RNA", at positions 17 to 518 of the family's 1533-position model. The record is from RNAcentral.